CUUCAGGAACUGCCACCUCCUGAUUGAAACUAACCUCAUCCAGCACAAAGUCAGGAUGUUGAGGAAGGAGAACAGACAGCUGCUAAGGGAGCAGAUUGCAUUGGAAGAAUGCAACAUAGAAACAAAAAUACUAUGUAAGGAAGGCAGUCAGAAGAUCAAAGACCACUAUACUAAGCAGCAGCAGGUCUGAAAUAUUCUGCAGAAGCUCAAACUGAUCAGAGACCAGGUCAAGAUCUUGCUCAGACACAGCUGUUCACCAGGAGCACUGGGUGUGCAAAGCAAAUUAACCACCAUUGCAUUUGACCCUUGUAACCAUGGCAACCUUGGGCUGCAUUUUCUUCUUUUUUGGUUUGCUAUGGGUAAUGAGGCCUUUAUUUUGUCUAGCCUCUGGUCCAGCAAGACUGCCUGUUUGGAAGGCUUCAGAGAAGUGCUGAGAUACAUCAAGAUCUGCUCGGCAUCCAGGAGGGCUCUGAGAAUGCCAAUUUUGGCUGGUCCUGUUGGGUCAUCUAGAAUUAUAUCAUGGUGAUCAGUCAAGUGAAUUUGAAAAACUUUGAGGUACCAUCUGUAACAUCUCUCAUGUUAGCCUUCGAAGGACUAGUCCAUCAACAAAACACCCACUCCAAUGAAGCAUGCCUAUAUUCAUCUUGAACAGAUUAUUACCAUCAGUGACUGCCUUUGCACUAUUUCACCAAGGCCAGCAACAGGCUGUGGGUCUGUGCUGAACAUCUGCAGCAAGAGAAUGAUGCUUAGCUUAAUUAUUUUGUUUGGUUUUGGUUAGAGUUUUGAUUUCUUUGUGUUUUUGGUUUUCCUGUGUUUUCAUUUGAAGUU
Molecule: long non-coding RNA, 828 nt
Filed under: Mus musculus (house mouse)
Lineage: Eukaryota; Metazoa; Chordata; Mammalia; Rodentia; Muridae
Description: predicted gene, 62561
Source: RNAcentral